CAGCAGCCGCGGUAAUACGAAGGGGGCUAGCGUUGCUCGGAAUGACUGGGCGUAAAGGGCGCGUAGGCGGCGAUCAAAGUCAGGCGUGAAAUUCCUGGGCUCAACCUGGGGGCUGCGUUUGAUACUUGAUUGCUAGAGUGGGGAAGAGGGUCGUGGAAUUCCCAGUGUAGAGGUGAAAUUCGUAGAUAUUGGGAAGAACACCGGUGGCGAAGGCGGCGACCUGGUCCUUGACUGACGCUGAGGCGCGAAAGCGUGGGGAGCAAACAGGAUUAGAUACCCCAGUAGUCCCUGUCUCUUAUAC
This 301-nucleotide ribosomal RNA is filed under the name uncultured bacterium. RNAcentral's name for it is "partial 16S ribosomal RNA". It matches the Rfam family "Bacterial small subunit ribosomal RNA", at positions 509 to 807 of the family's 1533-position model. The record is from RNAcentral.